This 300-nucleotide small nuclear RNA is filed under the name Heterocephalus glaber (naked mole-rat). RNAcentral's name for it is "7SK RNA". It matches the Rfam family "7SK RNA", at positions 9 to 280 of the family's 331-position model. Rfam says of the family: 7SK was discovered as an abundant small nuclear RNA in the mid-70s but a possible function has only recently been suggested. Two independent studies have found that 7SK RNA binds the CDK9/cyclin T complex (known as elongation factor P-TEFb). P-TEFb activates transcription by phosphorylating the C-terminal domain of RNA polymerase II. Lineage: Eukaryota; Metazoa; Chordata; Mammalia; Rodentia; Bathyergidae. The record is from Rfam by way of RNAcentral.
AAAAGAUCUGGCUGUGGCAUCUGUCACCACAUUGAUCUUCAGGGUUGAUUUGGCUGAUCUGGCUGGCUAGGCGAGUGUCCCCUUUCUCCCUCACUGUUCCACGUGUGUCCCUCCCAAAGCUGCCCACUCAGUCUGAGAGGAUGACAUUCCACAACAUAGUUGAGCCAUUUCCCGGGUCAAGGAUAUACAAGUAGCUGAGCUCCCCUGCUAUAAUCUCCAAACAAGCUCUCAAAGUGCAUUCUUAUUUCCUUUAACCUUCACAGCCGCCCUAGGUGAGAGCGAGGCAUUAUUGCUAUUCAC